Molecule: ribosomal RNA, 298 nt
Filed under: uncultured bacterium
Lineage: Bacteria
Description: partial 16S ribosomal RNA
Rfam family: Bacterial small subunit ribosomal RNA
Source: RNAcentral
GUCCUACGGGGGGCAGCAGUGGGGGAUAUUGCACAAUGGGGGGAACCCUGAUGCAGCGACGCCGCAUGGGUGAAGAAGCGCCUCGGCGCGUAAAGCCCUGUCCGCAGGGAAGAAAAUGACGGUACCUGAAGAAGAAGCCCCGGCUAACUACGUGCCAGCAGCCGCGGUAAUACGUAGGGGGCAAGCGUUAUCCGGAUUUACUGGGCGUAAAGGGAGCGUAGGCGGAUUUUUAAGUGAGAUGUGAAAUACUCGGGCUCAACUUGAGUGCUGCAUUUCAAACUGGAAGUCUAGAGUGCAG